RNAcentral lists this ribosomal RNA (715 nucleotides) under Neoheteromita hederae. Its description in RNAcentral is "eukaryotic LSU rRNA". The stretch from base 388 to 715 matches the Rfam family "Eukaryotic large subunit ribosomal RNA", at positions 1 to 323 of the family's 3401-position model. Lineage: Eukaryota; Cercozoa; Glissomonadida; Sandonidae. The record is from RNAcentral.
CAAUCUUUGACGCAAAUUGCGCUCCUGGGUAGCCCUAGGAGCACGCUUCUUUCAGUAUCGGUUCAACCCUCUCUCAGCAGCGUGUUUGUGUAUAGCUUCGGCUUUAUGCUUGCAUGUGUUGGCUGGAUAAUGAGAGUCUGUUUGCUUGCAGGCAGUCUCUUUAAGUACAUGGAGUGAACAUCAACUAUCGAUCAGCGCCAAUCUUGAAUUGGCUAGCCAGUCUCUGACUGUUGCUCGUUAGUGACGUGAAUAUUGGCCUUCGUGGUCUUCUUUUACGUGUAUCUUUCGAGUGACAUCAAGUUAGAUUCUAGUGAACGUUUGAAUAGACGAUGCCUCACGUGAGAAAACCAUAUGAUUUGUAAAACCUAGUUUUAUGAGUCUGAAUUUUGAUCUGAAAUGAAGCGAGACAACCCCCUGAAUUUAAGCAUAUUAAUAAGGGGAGGAAAAGAAACUAACAAGGAUUCCCUUAGUAACGGCGAGUGAAGCGGGAAGAGCUCAAUUUGAAAAUCGACUUCCUAAACGGGACGUCGAGUUGUAGCCUAGAGACGUACUAUCAGCUGAAACCUGGGUAUAAGUUCUUUGGAAUGAGGCAUCAUAGAGGGUGAGAAUCCCGUAUAUGACCCAAAGCUUUCAGCGUACGAUGUAUGUUCAUCGAGUCGAGUUGUUUGGGAUUGCAGCUCUAAAUGGGUGGUAAGUUUCAUCUAAAGCUAAAUAU